GCAAUGCGUGGCAUACGGCUCAGUAACACGUAGUCAACAUGCCCAGGGGACGUGGAUAACCUCGGGAAACUGAGGAUAAACCGCGAUAGGCCAAGGUUUCUGGAAUGGACACUGGCUGAAACCUAUAUGGCCCCUGGAUUGGACUGCGGCCGAUCAGGCUGUUGGUGAGGUAAUGGCCCACCAAACCUGUAACCGGUACGGGCUUUGAGAGAAGGAGCCCGGAGAUGGGCACUGAGACAAGGGCCCAGGCCCUAUGGGGCGCAGCAGGCGCGAAAAUUCUGCAAUAGGCGAAAGCUUGACAGAGUUACUCUGAGUGAUGCCCGCUAAGGGCAUCUUUUGGCACCUCUAAAAAUGGUGCAGAAUAAGGGGUGGGCAAGUCUGGUGUCAGCCGCCGCGGUAAUACCAGCACCCCGAGUGGUCGGGACGAUUAUUGGGCCUAAAGCAUCCGUAGCUUGUUCUGCAAGUCUUCCGUUAAAUCCACCUGCUCAACAGAUGGGCUGCGGGAGAUACUACAGGGCUAGGAGGCGGGAGAGGCAAGCGGUACUCAGUGGGUAGGGGUAAAAUCCUCUGAUCCACUGAAGACCACCAGUGGCGAAGGCGGCUUGCCAGAACGCGCUCGACGGUGAGGGAUGAAAGCUGGGGGAGCAAACCGGAUUAGAUACCCGGGUAGUCCC
This 674-nucleotide ribosomal RNA is filed under the name uncultured Nitrososphaerota archaeon. RNAcentral's name for it is "bacterial SSU rRNA". It matches the Rfam family "Archaeal small subunit ribosomal RNA", at positions 71 to 748 of the family's 1478-position model. Lineage: Archaea; Thermoproteati; Nitrososphaerota. The record is from RNAcentral.